Molecule: ribosomal RNA, 408 nt
Filed under: uncultured bacterium
Lineage: Bacteria
Description: partial 16S ribosomal RNA
Rfam family: Bacterial small subunit ribosomal RNA
Source: RNAcentral
GACGAACGCUGGCGGCGUGCUUAACACAUGCAAGUCGAACGAAGUGGCGAACGGGUGAGUAAUACGUGUGUAACCUGCCCUCCUUUUGGGGAUUAGCUUUGGAAACCGGUUCUAAUACCCACAUUAGGGUGUUGGGCGCGCGGCGUAUCAGCUUGUUGGUGGGGUGAGUGCCUACCACGGCGGUGACGGGUAGCCGGCCUGAGAUGGUGACCGGUCACAGUGGGACUGAGAUACGGCCCAGACUCCUACGGGGGGCAGCAGUGGGGGCUAUUGCACAAAGGGCGAAAGAGUGAUGCAGCGACGCCGCGUGGGGGAUGAAGGCUGUCGGGUUGUAAAAGUCUUUCGCUAGCGAACGGGUAGGUGGAGAAGAAGCACCGGCUAACUACGUGCCAGCAGCCGCGGUAAUUC